AAAUAGCCGCGGUAUUCUAACCGUGCUAAGGUAGCAUAAUAAUUUUCUUUUUAAUUAAAAGAUGGGAUGAAGGAGUGAACAGGGUGAUUUUGUAUCAUUUUUAAAGGAAUAAUUUUAUUUAGGAGUUAAAAAGCUUCUGAGUUUUAGAAAGACGAUAAGACCCUAUAAAACUUUACUAAUAAUAGUUAUUAGUAUUUAAGCUUGCAAAUUUAGUAUUAGUUAAGCUGGGGCGGCUUGUUUCUUAAGACGAGAGAUUAAAUAACAUAUUGAAUGGGGUUAAUAAGCGCAUGAUUAGCAAUAAAGAUUAAGUUACUUUAGGGAGUACACAGUAAUACUCUUGAAGAGUCCUUAUCGAUAAGGGUGUUUGCUACCUCGAUGUUGAAUUGAGUUGUCUACUGCGAGCAGUUUUUUCAGGGUAGAGGCG
This 424-nucleotide ribosomal RNA is filed under the name Typhlocirolana sp. 4 TYTIZNIT. RNAcentral describes it as "partial 16S ribosomal RNA". It matches the Rfam family "Bacterial large subunit ribosomal RNA", at positions 1925 to 2578 of the family's 2925-position model. Lineage: Eukaryota; Metazoa; Arthropoda; Malacostraca; Isopoda; Cirolanidae. The record is from RNAcentral.